AAGAGUGGAAGGGUCUAAUCAUCCAGUCAGAGGCCGCCAGAACUGGAUCGAGCCUUACUCUCAAAAGACUUACAUGGGCUAUGCACACAGUAGGUCAAAGCAUCAGGAAUCGUUUUCUCUAUUUUUUUUUUUUUUUAGGAUUUCUAAUUCCAAAUAGAUCUUUAUAGAAUUGUUUUCUGGAAGCCUUUAGUUCUGUCAUAUUAAAAUGUCCAUGAAAAAGUGAUCAAAACCUAAUGCUUAACUAUCCCACCACAGAGAAAAAUAUUGUGGUUUUUGGUUCCUAUUAAAACCAUGUGUUACAUAUAUAAUUAUGGAAGUCUCAGAUCCAGUGAGUACAACAUACAUGAAAUCUUUGGGAAAUAAUAAUACUUUUGCCUCACCGAUAGAACCUGUAGUGCAAUACUGUAACUCUGCCCAUGCCAUCGAAGGGGCACCUGGCCAAGGCCAGCAGGCGGGGGGCUUGUCGGCAUGUGCUGCCAUCAGAUCUCACCCCAGGAUCCACAGGCAUGAAGGAAGGUCACUUUUACACUUUACAGGAUUCUCGGGAGUUGGCUGGGCUGAAUCAUGCGCAUCUGCACUAUUCCUCCUUAGGGAAAGUUAAUUUUAGAAAGGAGAAAAAUUUUGCCAGGAAAACAAUCAUAUUGGCUCAAUAACUAGACAGCGUCUUUUCUCAAAUGUUCAAAAGGCUUCACAGUCUCCAUUUGUCCUUAAUGUUCUUGAAAGCAGGUAUCAGCCCUUUUUCACAGUGAAUGAAAAAAGUAAAUAAAAAGGAAAAGACAUGACUGCUCCUAGGUAUGGUGGAGGAGAAAGUUUACUAUAGAUAUGUAGGAGAACAUAGUCGGAGGCAGACACAUCUGGGGCAGUCCAGAGUGGUCAUGACCCUGAAUCUUGUUGGGGGAGGGGAAGGGAGAGAGUGGAGUGGAGCCAAGUACAGCCACCAGGAGGCCAAAGGUACAAAAGGGGGCGGGUGACCAAAAUGUCUGGAUUAUGUAGGGAAGAGCCUCUGGGGGCAGGGCAGCCUAGCCCCAGGGCUGUAGAGCUCAGGGUAGAGUGUGCCAGCCAUACCCAGUUACAGGUAGGGACUGAGGGAUGCUGGGAGGACCUGGAGGCCAGGUCUGCUUUGAUAUGUUAAAUAGGCACCCCAGCCACUCCGCUGGGCUUGAAACUUAACACAUCUAGGUCCAUAAAAUAAAAUCACUGUUUUAAUAGUGUACCUAUGUGACAAUAUAUUAAGAAAUUAGCUGUUUCCUUAACUUUUCAGAAGACACAGGUCAGUCUCUUUUGUCCCUGGUUGUUACCCUCUGCUGGCUGCAGAUACUUAUUAUAAUGGCUGAGGUACAAAUAAGGAUGUGCAUAGAAAAACUAGCAGAUGCACAACUGUGACACCAGGCAGGAUGGAGACAAAAUUAGCUUCAUUAAAUAUGAUGUAUAACGUCUAGAGGCCAGUCAGAGUGAAAGACCUGGGCUCACAUAAUUGGGAGCAUAAACAAGAUUUGCAUUAAUUUGAAUGACCGUUCCUUCUUUUGUUGCCUGGAGAUUGGUCUGCUUGAGAUUUUUAGUUUUGUUUUUGUUUUUGUUUUUUUUGCCUUUAAAUAAGCAACAAGUACACAGGCCAAAGGCCUGCAUUCCAUCAUUGACAAAAAUCAAGGGGCAGUCCGGGGAAGAUUUUCAGAUUCCCCGCAGAAUAGGCCUCCACCCUUUCCACUCACAGGAGUAUUUGUGGGGAAAUUCUUACCAAAAAAAAAAAACCAUGAUGUUUUAACUCUGGUCUCUUAGAAGCAUGGCAUUUUCCUCUAGUCCUGUAUCUGAGUUUCAAAAUAGCACUCAGCUUCCCUUCCCCUAACCACCAUCCCAGAAGUGAUGGCACCGCAUCAAACCAUCAGCCUCGGUGAACGGCCUUUCUGCCAUGUGGACCUUACACUUUCAGGAGGACAAUCCAGGAGGAGGAGGAUCGCUCUCACUUCCGGGCGGUUUUUUUUCCCCCCGUUUAGAUAUGAAGUAUAUAUACAUACACAACAACAGCCUCUCUCUCUCCUCCCGCCCCUUCUCCCACCAAAUCUGAAUCAAGAAUAAAGGACCUGGAGACGGUGGGCGAUCUCGUACCAACCCCUCGCCCUCGCCAGCGACCCAGAGUCAGGGUGCAGGGUUCCUGGUGCGGUCCUGGAGAAAACGUGAAAGCGAGGGGUGGAUGGUGGAGAGGGGGCGAAGGUGCCGCGGGCCGCGGAGCAGAAACCCAGAACGCGCAGCAUGGGAGCCCUGGCCAGAAACCCAGCACAGGGCGUCAGCUUGGCGCCGAAGACCCCGGAGAAGAGCAGAGGAAGAAGGUGCAGUGCUCAAGCAGAGUCAGCAUGUCUCUCCGUCUCAGAUCCCCAGAGAAGAAACUACCCUAGCUGAAGUCAGAGCCGAUAUAAAGCUGUGCCUACAAACGUUGUCUUCUAACCGUACAGGAGAGUAGACUGGCAUUGGAAUAAGGAUGAAGGUGCUGUUUUGGAUAAAUGCUCCCCAAAGUCCACAAAGUGUUCCAUGUCUGGCCAGCAGCCUUUGGCACUAUUAGAAUCUGGUGGUACUUUAAAAACUGGGACCUAGCAGAGGAAGCAUCGUCACUGGGUGCCUGCCCUAGAGGGAAUGCUUGGAGCCCAGCCUCUCUUCUUCCUGGCUGCUGUGAGAUGAGUGCUUCCUUUUCCUGGUGCCCUUGUGCCUAUGGCCUGCUUCACUGCAGGGCCAAAAAAACAUGGGCUAAAACCUCCAAAACCGUAAAGAAGAUAUGCUUUUAAAACUGACUUAGUAAGCCUGAGGGGGCCUGAGUGCAGGCCUUUGAUGGCAGCACUCGAGAGGCAGAAGCAGGGGGAUCUCUGAGUUCUAGGCCAGCCAGGUCUACAGAGCAAUUUCCGAGAUAGCUGAGGCUACACAGAAAAGGCCUGCCUUGAAAAAAUUAAACAAAACAAAACAAAACAAACCUGAUAUAUCUCCGGUAUUUGUUACGCUGCCAGAAAUCUGACCCCCACAGAGAAGUAUUCCAGAGGGUUGAGGGGACCGGGCAGUUUUGUACUGAAAGACAACUUACUAGAUGUUUGUUCUAAAGACAAAAAUGUAAAUAACUACACUGCAAUUUCACAAGGAAUGAUGAGACUAUGAAGAAACUAGGUGAGUACAUUUCAGGCAAGAAGGAAAGGCGUUUCCACUGCAGAGGCCUCAGGGCCACUUCAUGGGGAAAGGCAAUGCUUGGGUCUUAAUUAUCGGUUGCACCAGACCUAUAGCCCCCCCACACACACACACACAUACACACACCCAUCCCAGGGCUGAACUUCAAAUGCUGAUGAGAUGCAGAGUUGGGGCAGCCAAUAAGCAGGUGAUAACACAUUGUAGGUUAGUGUGCCACCAGAACCGGGUAAGCUGUAAAGCUAUAGAGUCCAUUGGUGUCAGAGGCAGAGAUAAGAUAACCCAAGAAUAUCAUGCAUGGGGAAAGAACUAAGUGCCUAUGGUGGGCACCUGAAUAACACUGAGUGGCCACUAGACUAAGGACAGCUAUCCAAGGAAAAGAACCAAUAGAAACUAAUAUUGUAUAGAAGAAGAAAAGUGUUAUAUAUAGAGAGAGCGGUGAUAAACAGUGCCAGAGUGGAACAGAAACUCAGUAAUAUGCUAGGCUUGGUCAUCACACCUGUAAUGCCAGCACUGGGGAGACUGAGGGAAGGACAAUCAGGGGUUAAAGGCCAGCCCAGCUAGAAAAGGAAACUGCCACACAAUAGAGUUGUUUUCCUACUAAAAAUG
Long non-coding RNA from Mus musculus (house mouse), 3768 nucleotides. RefSeq annotates it as predicted gene, 40935. The transcript has 3 exons. The record is from RefSeq and is a predicted model, not a curated record. Lineage: Eukaryota; Metazoa; Chordata; Mammalia; Rodentia; Muridae.